GAUGAACGCUGGCGGUAUGCCUAACACAUGCAAGUCGUACGAGAGUUUUUAACUCUAGUGGCGGACGGGUGAGUAACACGUGAGAAUUUGCCUUUAGGAGGGGGACAACAAUUGGAAACGAAUGCUAAUACCCCAUAUGCUUUCGAGUGAAAUGGAUUUUAUCCGCCUAGAGAGAAGCUCGCGGCUGAUUAGCUUGUUGGUAAGGUAAGAGCUUACCAAGGCGACGAUCAGUAUCUGGUUUGAGAGGACGAUCAGACACACUGGAACUGAGACACGGUCCAGACUCCUACGGGAGGCAGCAGUGGGGAAUUUUCCGCAAUGGGCGAAAGCCUGACGGAGCAAUACCGCGUGAGGGAGAAUGCCUAUGGGUUGUAAACUGCUUUUGACAGGGAAGAAAUCACUUAUGCGUAAGUGUCUGACGGUACCUGUAGAAUAAGCACCGGCUAACUCCGUG
RNAcentral lists this ribosomal RNA (454 nucleotides) under uncultured bacterium. RNAcentral's name for it is "bacterial SSU rRNA". It matches the Rfam family "Bacterial small subunit ribosomal RNA", at positions 28 to 507 of the family's 1533-position model. The record is from RNAcentral.